This 19-nucleotide unclassified non-coding RNA is filed under the name Chlamydomonas reinhardtii. RNAcentral's name for it is "small RNA Cre_4059". Lineage: Eukaryota; Viridiplantae; Chlorophyta; Chlorophyceae; Chlamydomonadales; Chlamydomonadaceae. The record is from RNAcentral.
UUGUGAGCUGGUGGUUUGU